UCUCAUUUCAUCUUACCAACAACACGCCCCAUCGUAUAGCUUUAGCGUCCUUUGUUAAGUGUUUUCAUUACAUGAUUAGUAAAAGGUCUUUCUGAAUGAUCCAGACCAGCUCAUGAGAAUGGAUCCAGGCCACCCACACAUGACAGUGUGUCCCCACCCAUGUUCACCCUGCCCCUCAGACACAUGCAACUAAACUGACAUGUCAGGAAACUCUUGGCUAAGCAGUCUUGUGUUAGUAUUUCCACACCAAAUAAAACCAUAGCAAGAAAACAGAUAAUACAUAGAUAGCACUGAAUUUUAAAAUAAUGCUCUCAGCCUGAAAAAUCCCCAGUGAUGUCAAAGAAAAUCAUUAGAAAAAUAAGAAGAGCAGAAAAGGUGGUGGUGGGGGGGAUUUGAGCUUUGUUGGUCAGAAUAUGAACUGCUACCCUUGUUUGUCUCUGAGUUUUGUUAAGUUUCUCAUUUUGUCUUAAUAGUGAGGUCACCCUGCAGAAAAAUGCACGGUAGCUGUGUUCUUGUGGAGCAGAAGGGAAAGAUGAGACUGAAAGGUACAAACACCAUGUCCCUCACUGGGAGUCCUUGCAGGGGCAGGGCAGGGGUGAGGGCUUCUGAGAGACUCAGCAGUGAGCAGAUGAAAAGGGACAGUCUCCAGUGUCUUGGAGACAGCUGAUCAUGUGCAAGGUUCCACAGCAUGAUGAAAGGAGCUGUGGCAAUCCUUUAAGACUCCCUAUCUUCCCAGGACCGGUCAUAAUUUACAAGUAAGGACACGAAGGCUCAGAAAUCUCUAGCGAUGUGUCUGCCACCCUGUGACUAACAUGGCAGAGCCGAGAUUAGAACCUUGGUCUUUGGGUCUUAGCCUGCUAUGGUCAGGUCCUCACUGACCCCUCACUGAGGAGAGCAGAUGACUUUGUCUUAUGGUUGGGACGAUGGUUCUUCCCAUCCUUCUGCAAGAACAGGCUUGGAUGGCUUCCCCUCAGCCACAAAUCAGAUCUUAUCAUCGUCCCCACCAAUGACCAGCCACAGCUCCAAGUCACCAACUGUUAAAGAUGGAGUGUUUCUCAUAUUUCAAUUUAGUACUUAUGAGAUUGGGUACGUAUCAUCUGUAUUUGCUGUCAAUGAAGGAUGAAUUUUAACAACUGUAUAAGUAGAGCC
Molecule: long non-coding RNA, 1149 nt
Filed under: Mus musculus (house mouse)
Lineage: Eukaryota; Metazoa; Chordata; Mammalia; Rodentia; Muridae
Description: long non-coding RNA chr14:67340788-67341937
Source: RNAcentral